Long non-coding RNA from Anarrhichthys ocellatus (wolf-eel), 500 nucleotides. RefSeq lists it as uncharacterized. The transcript is spliced from 3 exons. NCBI's taxonomy places the organism in Eukaryota, Metazoa, Chordata, Actinopteri, Perciformes, Anarhichadidae. The record is from RefSeq and is a predicted model, not a curated record.
UUCCAGUGUAGUGCGUUGAUUUCAUACCAAAGUCAUACUUAACAUUCCACUUAUACUGUCACACCUCUGAGAAAUAUUACGGGAAAAAAACAAGGCGCCAAAUUAAAAGAAGCUAACUAAAAGUGACCAUCUGCUCUCAGUGAGAAGAAGAAGGUGACUGCCAGAUUAUAGAUAUAAAAGUUCAUACCUGGAUCAGCCAACACUUCCAGCCUUGUUGCUCAAGAGGAAUCCAACAGUUUUACCUCCAGGAACAGAGAGAGAGAGACACACACACACACACACACACACACACACACACACACACACACACACACACACACACACACAUCCAUUUGGAGGAAUACACAACUUCAGUGUGGUUUGGACCUCUGCAUCCCAAAAGGUCUCCCACAGAUCCUUUGAUUUUGGGGCUCGGGGUCGGGCCCAGGGGGAGCCGCCACCAUUGCGUCCAACGAGUGGAGCGCCAACGGUAGCCCAGAAGAUGGGCUGGACGGGGAAAA